RNAcentral lists this ribosomal RNA (479 nucleotides) under uncultured bacterium. RNAcentral describes it as "bacterial SSU rRNA". It matches the Rfam family "Bacterial small subunit ribosomal RNA", at positions 335 to 802 of the family's 1533-position model. The record is from RNAcentral.
ACUCCUACGGGAGGCAGCAGUAGGGAAUCUUCCACAAUGGACGAAAGUACUGAUGGAGCAACGCCGCGUGAGUGAAGAAGGGUUUCGGCUCGUAAAACUCUGUUGUUAAAAGAAAGAACAUAUCUGAGAGUAACUGUUCAGGUAUUGACGGUAUUUAACCUAGAAAGCCACGGCUAACUACGUGCCAGCAGCCGCGGUAAUACGUAGGUGGCAAGCGUUGUCCGGAUUUAUUGGGGCGUAAAGCGAGCGCAGGCGGUUUUUAAAGUCUGAUGUGAAAGCCUUCGGCUCAACCGAAGAAGUGCAUCGGAAACUGGGAAACUUGAGUGCAGAAGAGGACAGUGGAACUCCAUGUGUAGCGGUGAAAUGCGUAGAUAUAUGGAAGAACACCAGUGGCGAAGGCGGCUGUCUGGUCUGUAACUGACGCUGAGGCUCGAAAGUAUGGGUAAACAAACAGGAUUAGAUACCCUGGUAGGAUAGCG